GCAUGUGGUUUAAUUCGAAGCAACGCGCAGAACCUUACCAGCCUUGACAUCCGGUCGCGGUUCAGAGAUGGAUCCUUCAGUUCGGCUGGACCGGUGACAGGUGCUGCAUGGCUGUCGUCAGCUCGUGUCGUGAGAUGUUGGGUUAAGUCCGCAACGAGCGCAACCCUUGCCUUUAGUUGCCAGCAGUUCGGCUGGGCACUCUAAAGGGACUGCCGGUGUUAAACCGGAGGAAGGUGGGGAUGACGUCAAGUCCUCAUGGCCUUUAUGACCAGGGCUACACACGUACUACAAUGGCCGAUACAAAGGGCAGCGACACUGCGAGGUGAAGCCAAUCCCGUAAAAUCGGUCUCAGUCCGGAUUGGAGUCUGCAACUCGACUCCAUGAAGUUGGAAUCGCUAGUAAUCGUGGAUCAGAAUGUCACGGUGAAUACGUUCCCGGGCCUU
RNAcentral lists this ribosomal RNA (443 nucleotides) under uncultured Desulfobulbus sp. Its description in RNAcentral is "bacterial SSU rRNA". It matches the Rfam family "Bacterial small subunit ribosomal RNA", at positions 937 to 1382 of the family's 1533-position model. The record is from RNAcentral. Lineage: Bacteria; Pseudomonadati; Thermodesulfobacteriota; Desulfobulbia; Desulfobulbales; Desulfobulbaceae.